CCGUGCUAAGUGGGGAGUUAGCGGUGCCCUGUACCUGCAAUCCGCUACAGCAGGACUGAACCGCCCCUCUCGACUUCUGAAAUGGAAGGCUGCCCCGUAUAAGGGGUGUUGAUAACAAGGUCUUAUGCAAUCCGCCGCCGCGAACCGUGUCAGGAUAGGGAUAUAGCAGCACUAAACGGUUAAGCGGGUGUGCCAUAGGGUUGCUUUGCAGUAGCUACCUGUAUGGGUUACGCUUCGGUUUCAGUUGGCAAAAGGGGCUGCACGG
RNAcentral lists this signal recognition particle RNA (265 nucleotides) under Clostridia bacterium. RNAcentral describes it as "signal recognition particle sRNA large type". It matches the Rfam family "Bacterial large signal recognition particle RNA". Rfam says of the family: The signal recognition particle (SRP) is a universally conserved ribonucleoprotein involved in the co-translational targeting of proteins to membranes. Archaeal SRP consists of a 7S RNA and homologues of the eukaryotic SRP19 and SRP54 proteins. Lineage: Bacteria; Bacillati; Bacillota; Clostridia. The record is from RNAcentral.